AACAUAAGAUAGUUUAAAGACUUAGUUGUGAAGCUUCAAGCUAUAAAAAUCCUAGAUGAACACCUAGAAAGUACUCUUCUAGACACUGGCCUCUGGAAGGAAUUUAACACCUUAAAAAUAAAUGCAACAGGCUGGGUGCAGUGGUUCAUGCCUGUAAUGCCAGCACUUUGAGAGGCUUAGGUGGGCAGAUCAUGAGGUCAGGAGUUUGAGACCAGCCUGGCCAACACAGUGAAACCCUGUCUCUACUAAAGAUACAAAAAACCAGCUGGGUGUGGUGGUGCACACCUGUAAUCCCAGCUACUCGGGAGGCUGAGGCAGAAUUGCUUGAAUCCAGGAGGCGGAGGUUGCAGUGAGCUGAUAUCAUGCCAUUGCCCUCCUUCCUGGGCGACAGGGUGAGUCCUUUGUCUUAAA
Molecule: long non-coding RNA, 411 nt
Filed under: Homo sapiens (human)
Lineage: Eukaryota; Metazoa; Chordata; Mammalia; Primates; Hominidae
Description: HSALNT0123659
Source: RNAcentral